RNAcentral lists this ribosomal RNA (1469 nucleotides) under Candidatus Aenigmarchaeota archaeon ex4484_52. Its description in RNAcentral is "bacterial SSU rRNA". It matches the Rfam family "Archaeal small subunit ribosomal RNA". The record is from RNAcentral. Lineage: Archaea; Nanobdellati; Candidatus Aenigmatarchaeota.
AAUUCCGGUUGAUCCUGCCGGAGAUUACUGCUAUUGGAGUUUGAUUAAGCCAUGCGAGUUAAAGGUCUUUUAAUUUAUUAAAAGAUACUGGCGAACGGCUGAGUAACACGUAGUCAAUCUAACUUUUGGUUGGGUAUAAUCUUGGGAAACUGAGGAUAAUCCCCAAUAUAAUAUAUUUUCUGGAAUGAAGUAUAUUUGAAAGUUACGACGCCAAAAGAUGAGACUGCGGUGGAUUAGGUUGUUGUUGGGGUAAAUGCCCAACAAGCCGAUAAUCCAUAGGGGUUGUGAGAGCAAUAGCCCCCAGAUGGAUUCUGAGACACGAAUCCAGGCCCUACGGGGCGCAGCAGGCGCGAAACCUUCACAAUGCACUAAUUGUGUGAUGGGGAAACUCCAAGUGGUAGCAUAGUGCUGCCUUUUGAAAAGUCAAAACAUCUUUUUGAAUAAGUGGUGGGUAAGACGGUUGCCAGCCGCCGCGGUAAUAACCGCGCCACAAGUGGUAAUCUCGAUUAUUGGGUCUAAAGCAUCCGUAGCCGGGGAUAUUAGUUUUCUGUGAAAUCCAAAUGAAAACAUUUGUAAUGCAGAAAAUACUAUAUUUCUUGAGACUGGGAGGAGCAAGAGGAACUCCAUGGGUAGGGGUAGAAUCUUUUAAUCCAUGGGGGGUCACCAGUGGCGAAGGCGUCUUGCUAGAACAGGUCUGACGGUGAGGGAUGAAAGCUGGGGGAGCGAAGAGGAUUAGAUACCCUUGUAGUCCCAGCUGUAAACGAUGCUCGUUAGGUAUUGGGAAUUUUAUGUGAAUUUUCAGUGCCGUAGGGAAGCCGUUAAACGAGCCACCUGGGGAGUACGGUCGCAAGGCUGAAACUUAAAGGAAUUGGCGGGGGAGCACACAAGGGGUGACGUCUACGGUUCAAUUGGAUUCAACUCCGGGAACCUUACCAGAGGUGACAGUAGAAUGAUGGUCAGUUUGAAGAACUUACCUGACGCACUGAGAGGUAUUGCAUGGCCGACGUCAGCUCGUGCCGUGAGGUGUGCGGUUAAGUCCGCAAACGAGCGAGACCCGCGUUUUUAGUUGCUAAUGAAAAUAAGCACUCUAAAAGGACCGCUGGCGAUAAGUCAGAGGAAGGUGCGGUCAACGUUAGGUCAGUAUGGUCCGAAUCUUCUGGGCUACACGUGGGCGGCAAUGAUAAGGACAAUAGGAUGCGACACCGAAAGGUGAAGCUAAUCCUCUAAACCUUAUUUUAGUACAGAUUGAUGGUUGCAACUCACCAUCAUGAUGCCGGAAUCCCUAGUAGUCGAGUGUUAGCAUCGCUCGGCGAAUAAGUCCCUGCUCCUUGCACACACUGCCCGUCAAACCACCUGAAUUGAUUUUAGAUGAGAUACUUUCAUUGAAAGAUUCGAAUCUGAUUUUGGUAAGGGGGGUUAAGUCGUAACAAGGUAGCCGUACGGGAACGUGCGGCUGGAUCACCUCCAAA